AUACUUUAAAAAUCAUUUAUUUGAUCAUCACAAUGCCUGGCACAAAGUAAGUGCUCAAAAAUAUUACCUGAAUGAAUGAAAAGUUUGUCUCGUCAUUUACCGUAUGGUAGCUCAGUGGGCCCAAACUCCCUUCCAUGUUGUUGGAUUAGAUUCUAAUACCCUCGACCUCAGGAACCUCUGAGAAUCAUUCCCCACCUUCAGGUGCUUGGUAUACACAGCAGGAUCUGAGUCACACGAGUGUGGCUUUGCAUCAAGCUGUGAGAACAUUCCAGAUGUGCUGAUGGGUUUCAUGGAAAAAUUCAAAUUUAACGAUAGUAGAGAUGGUUUGAGGAAUGCAUCUCUACAGGGUUAUCUUAACCUCAUGGAUAGGAUGCUAAGUAUAUUUAACUGAGUGCCUAUUGCGUGCUGUAUACUAUGAUAAGCUUUGCAGAAGGUACAAAACUCAAAAAUGAUCUCUCCCCUCAAAGAGCUUUUCAUCUGGUAGAUGUGAUGAUACCCAAGAAUCAUUUAUGAUACAAGACAAUGUGUGAUAAAUGCUAUAAAGUGAUGUAAAAACACUUCGGGCAGCAGAGAGAGUUUACUUUUGGCUUCAAGAAUGUCACUGUGUUUGAGCUAGAACUUAAGGAAUAAGCACAAUGUCUUUUUUCUGACUUCUGGUUUACAAUCCCACAUGGACUACAUACCUGGAAAAUAGAGAAAGAAUAAGGGGAAAAGGGGGAUACUGGUGCUAUUGCAAAGGGUGUGCAUGGGCAGAGGGAGGGUGUACCCCAUAACCGGCCUGGCUGAAGCAGUUCCAGGUGUGGAGAAGCCCAGGACACAUUAGGGUGAGAGAUUCUGUGUCAACCACCUAUGUUGGACCUCGGCACACCUACCAUCUUCUCUCUGUACUCUGCUUGGAUAGCCUCACCCUGAAUCUUUGCCCUAGAAAGAAUCUAGAAAACAAAGCCUGCAGCAGAUCUCACGUGUGAAGACAUUAUUGGAAGGUGUCAUCUCAAGGCAGCAAGAGUGAAGAAGCUGAGAAGGGUUGAGAGUGGGUACCAGGUGGCACUGAUGCAGCUGGUCACAGUGCACAGGCUCAGUGGUGAGGAGGGGUGUCCAGACAGGCAUGGAACUUUAUUCCCUGGGAGAGUCCAUCAAGGAGAGGAAGACAGGGGAGGUUACCAGCCUGCCUCUGCCCAUCAGCUAACUCUUGUUGGUCAAAUGGACUCCACAGGUCAUGAGCUCCUUUAUACGUCAGAGUUACCUGGCCAGAUCCCCCAGGCAGCCAGGAACAGAAAGGCAUGACAUCUGAGCCCAGAAAUGGAGGGACACACCACAGCCUUUGUGGGCAGUCAGAUGGGACAUGGGGCCUGGAUUGGCAGAGGCUCUUUCUUCAGUGCAUGUGAUGGGAGCUGGCCCACACUCUGGGGGUGCUGGGACAACAGGCAGUGCCAAGAAGUAAAGUGACUGUGGCAGCAGCCGGGCUCCCCACCAAGCAAAGAGCUCAAUCCCUAAGGUCAUGAGGGGGCUGAGCAAGUCUGAGGAGGGCUUAAACUGAGUCUGGUGAAAGUGUAUGUUUGAAUGAUUUUCGGGGUCAAAAGUUACAUCCUCCAUGCAUUAUGUCCUGAUUUUUCCACACGGGCAUUCAAAUUUUCUUUGUUUGUAUAAUUUUGAAGUUACUGUUUUUUAUGAAAAUAAUUCAUUUUCCUUUAUUGUCCUUCUACUAAAGCGUGAACAACCCGCUGUCAGAACUAGGUGCCAUUCCUCUCUGUGAACGGUAGCUCUGAGCAUCAAGCUCGGAGCAGUAGGUGCUGAAUAAAUUAAACUGGGCACUAAUGAAGAUCAUCGCUAAAAUGUUAAACACAGUAAAAAAGGACAAGGAGAGCACCCUGGAGGAAGAGGAAGGUUUGCAGAGUUUGUGAGGAAAGUUAGCAAUCUAAGAGAGGUAGAGGAGGAGAAUACCAGAAUUCCAGUGACAAUGGCCCCUGCACAAAGAUGCCUGGAGCUCUUAGUAGAGUUAGGGACCUAGACAUCACAGUGGAAGGAGUGUGGAGUAGUCUGUGAGGAAGAGGAGUCAAUUCAUGAAAAAUAAACCCUCAUCAAACAAACAGUGAGAUAUGAGCUAUCUAGGUCUUUUCAAAACCUAUUCAAGAGCAAUCAAGAUCACAGAAGCAGAAGGAGAAAGCAAUGCUUUCCUCUAAGUAAGUUCCAUCCUUGGCUAAUUUACAUCCCAAGAAAGCUACAUGAUUCCUUUUAGUUAGCUCUUCCUAAAUGCUCCUCAAUGGAAGGCAGCCUAACACUACACUCACCAAAAGUCACUUAAAAACAUAGCCAGUAAUACAAAACCUCGUCUGUACUUCAUAUAAAGUUGUUGGGUAGACUCUGAUGAUUGGGUCGCGCAUGGUCGCCUGUAUAAAUUGCCCCAUGAGAGAAAUUUCUCUUGGAAUUUAGUACAGGGAAAAUGUCCCCCAUGAGGUAGCCCAUGUGAUCAAUGGCUUUAGCCUCAGAGUCCCUGCUAUGCUAUUUUACUCGUGGAAAUCAGAAAGCCUAUUCUGUCAUUUGCUCUCUGACUCAGGGUAGGUCCCAAGAGGGGAAAGCAAAAAUCAAGUCAAGUAUUAUUAGACCUUUGGUUAAGCAGCACAUAGUAGGCUUUCAGUAACUGUUAGUUCCCCUUAAGCCUCCUUUACAUUUGGGCAAUGAAAGUAAUGGAAGUAGUCACAGUUGGCACAUUUGGCUGUCAGAAUACCCAAAGCCUAAUUUUACUUUCAAUUAGAGCAGAUAUUAUCAUAGCUGGCAUUACAGCUUCCCUGGUUUUUCUCAACCUUGUUUUUCCUUUUAAUUCAUCAUGUAUUACUCUUAUUUAGUAGGCCUUUUUGUCAGAAAUCCAUCUGAAAUUCUUUCUUGGAAUCAAUCAUUCUUUAAUGAAUAAACUGCUCUCAAAUAAAUUUGGCACACUGUGGAAUAUUCUGCAGCUACUAAAAGGGCAAUUACGAAAACUAUUUAGAAAUCCAGAAACUGUCUGCCUGAGAUAAAAUGUUUAUUUGACUGUACAAUGACACAUAUACUCUAACAGCAACCAUGUAAAUAUCUGUAUUUGAAGAGGAUAUGAAGGAACCCCUGCUUCCAGCCAAGAUGGACACAGGGACCAAGUAUACCCUCCCAUGCAAAACA
This 3150-nucleotide long non-coding RNA is filed under the name Sus scrofa (pig). RNAcentral describes it as "lncRNA (ENSSSCG00000062280.1, ENSSSCG00085005369.1)". Lineage: Eukaryota; Metazoa; Chordata; Mammalia; Artiodactyla; Suidae. The record is from RNAcentral.